GAACUUCUAGUUAAAUAUAUAAUAUUAGUUUGUCAAACUAAAGUUACUCUUAAGAGUGAAGUUCU
Molecule: transfer RNA, 65 nt
Filed under: Melaenis sp. YZ-2018
Lineage: Eukaryota; Metazoa; Annelida; Polychaeta; Phyllodocida; Polynoidae
Description: tRNA-Asp
Source: RNAcentral